Molecule: ribosomal RNA, 710 nt
Filed under: Stenotrophomonas sp. DH68-2
Lineage: Bacteria; Pseudomonadati; Pseudomonadota; Gammaproteobacteria; Lysobacterales; Lysobacteraceae
Description: bacterial SSU rRNA
Rfam family: Bacterial small subunit ribosomal RNA
Source: RNAcentral
AAUACAUCGGAAUCUACUUUUUCGUGGGGGAUAACGUAGGGAAACUUACGCUAAUACCGCAUACGACCUACGGGUGAAAGCAGGGGAUCUUCGGACCUUGCGCGAUUGAAUGAGCCGAUGUCGGAUUAGCUAGUUGGCGGGGUAAAGGCCCACCAAGGCGACGAUCCGGAACUUGGCCUGAAAGGAUGAUCAGCCACACUGGAACUGAGACACGGUCCAGACUCCUACGGGAGGCAGCAGUGGGGAAUAUUGGACAAUGGGCGCAAGCCUGAUCCAGCCAUACCGCGUGGGUGAAGAAGGCCUUCGGGUUGUAAAGCCCUUUUGUUGGGAAAGAAAUCCAGCUGGUUAAUACCCGGUUGGGAUGACGGUACCCAAAGAAUAAGCACCGGCUAACUUCGUGCCAGCAGCCGCGGUAAUACGAAGGGUGCAAGCGUUACUCGGAAUUACUGGGCGUAAAGCGUGCGUAGGUGGUCGUUUAAGUCCGUUGUGAAAGCCCUGGGCUCAACCUGGGAACUGCAGUGGAUACUGGGCGACUAGAAUGUGGUAGAGGGUAGCGGAAUUCCUGGUGUAGCAGUGAAAUGCGUAGAGAUCAGGAGGAACAUCCAUGGCGAAGGCAGCUACCUGGACCAACAUUGACACUGAGGCACGAAAGCGUGGGGAGCAAACAGGAUUAGAUACCUGGUAGUCCACGCCCUAAACGAUGCGAACUG